This 263-nucleotide unclassified non-coding RNA is filed under the name plant metagenome. Its description in RNAcentral is "partial contains small subunit ribosomal RNA, internal transcribed spacer 1, and 5.8S ribosomal RNA". The record is from RNAcentral.
UUUCCGUAGGUGAACCUGCGGAAGGAUCAUUAUUGUAUAACCGAGGUGCGAGGGCUGUCGCUGACCCGACAGGUCGUGCACGCCCGAGUGCCCUCACGCGCACCCAUCUCACCCCUAUGUGCACCACCGCGUGGGUCCCCCUUUGGCUUGUUCGGAGGGGGGCUUACGUUUUCACACAAACUUUGUAUGCAGUGUAGAAUGUAUUUUUUGUUUUUGCGAUCACGCAAUCAAUACAACUUUCAACAACGGAUCUCUUGGCUCUC